GAUCAUAGCUCAUAUUGAACGCUGGCGGAAUGCUUUACACAUGCAAGUCGAACGGCAGCACGGACUUCGGUCUGGUGGCGAGUGGCGAACGGGUGAGUAACAUAUCGGAACGUAUCCAAUAAUGGGGGAUAACUAAUCGAAAGGUUGGCUAAUACCGCAUACGCCCUACGGGGAAAGCUAGGGACCUUCGGGCCUGGCGUUAAUGGAGCGGCCGAUAUCUGAUUAGCUAGUUGGUGAGGUAAAGGCUC
RNAcentral lists this ribosomal RNA (248 nucleotides) under uncultured bacterium. Its description in RNAcentral is "partial 16S ribosomal RNA". It matches the Rfam family "Bacterial small subunit ribosomal RNA", at positions 15 to 266 of the family's 1533-position model. The record is from RNAcentral.